GACGAACGCUGGCGGCGUGCUUAACACAUGCAAGUCGAACGGAAAGGCCCUGCUUUUGUGGGGUGCUCGAGUGGCGAACGGGUGAGUAACACGUGAGUAACCUGCCCUUGACUUUGGGAUAACUUCAGGUAACUGGGGCUAAUACCGGAUAGGAGCUCACGCUGCAUGGUGGGGGUUGGAAAGUUUCGGCGGUUGGGGAUGGACUCGCGGCUUAUCAGCUUGUUGGUGGGGUAGUGGCUUACCAAGGCUUUGACGGGUAGCCGGCCUGAGAGGGUGACCGGCCACAUUGGGACUGAGAUACGGCCCAGACUCCUACGGGAGGCAGCAGUGGGGAAUAUUGCACAAUGGGCGGAAGCCUAAUGCAGCAACGCCGCGUGCGGGAUGACGGCAUUCGGGUUGUAAACCGCUUUCGCCUGUGACGAAGCGUGAGUGACGGUAAUGGGUAAAGAAGCACCGGCUAACUACGUG
Molecule: ribosomal RNA, 468 nt
Filed under: uncultured bacterium
Lineage: Bacteria
Description: partial 16S ribosomal RNA
Rfam family: Bacterial small subunit ribosomal RNA
Source: RNAcentral